Non-coding RNA from Camelina sativa (false flax), 1622 nucleotides. The record is from RefSeq and is a predicted model, not a curated record. NCBI's taxonomy places the organism in Eukaryota, Viridiplantae, Streptophyta, Magnoliopsida, Brassicales, Brassicaceae.
GGUUUCGAUUAGCCAAAUCUAUGCUUUAAAUUUUGAAAAAACUGAAUCCAGAUUUAACCUCUCUUUUCUGAAAUUUUCGUUUAUUUAUUUUGAUGUUAUUACUGAUCUUUCUUAUGAUGAACAAACAUGAUCAAUGAUAAAAUCUUUAGAUCCGAUUCGUUUGGACAAUGAGAAGCAGAUGAAGUUGCGAUCAUCAGUCCCUUUGGUAAUAAUCUGGUACAGUUUGAUUCUUCUUGCAUGAACUGAUUAAAAAAGCAAUCUCUGUUUUGAGUUUGUAAAGUUUUUGAUUACUACUGUGUUAAUCUCUGCUUUGCUAAUUUGGUUAAAGACUUGAGACUUUUCAUGAGAAAUCUUAAACAGGAAUUAGGAAAAUUUCAGACCUUUUUUUUUUUUUUGUGUCUGUUUCAUUUUAAGAGAAUGAACUUUUUAGAUGUGGUUGAUGUAAUGAUGCCAUUUGCGUUUGCUAAUUGUUUUUAUUUUUCUUUCCAUUUUUAGUAAAUGGUUAAUUUGUGUUUGAUGCUUUAAAUCUCAAUAAGUUCGUAUGAGGGUGGGUGAUGAUGAUGAUGUUGAAAGGCCAAUACUUGAAUACUGGUUGGGUAAAUCAAGAACAUGAAUUUUUUUAUAUACGUUCCGUGUUUGUUUGGUCUUAACCUCAGCGAUGAGUUUGGUUCUGUUCGAUCGUUCUGGUGCCCAUCGUAUGUAAUUCACGGCAUUGAAGUUAACUGCAAUCAUCAAACCAGUCAGACAUGAAGGAAGCAAAACAAGAAAACACCAGCACAAUAGGAAUAUAUAAACAGAGAAGCUUAUAACAAUUUCAGUCCUAAAACCAACGACGACUUGAUAACCUUCCCUAAUCAUGAGUAAUCAAAAGUCUUGUUUAUAACAUGAUCUUGUCUUGUAACCAAGAAGACGUUUCAUCUAGAGAUGUAAGAUGUUUAUGGAAAUCUAAAUUGAAUCCCCAUUGCAGUGUUUCAGUGUGCAUUAUUUUUCUAUUUACUAAUGUUUUUCCUUUUCCCACAAGAAUCUCAUCAAUUCCGCCUAAAGAGAUGACGCUGUAAUCUGAUGAAACUCCGAUCACGAGGUCGUCACGUUCCUUCCACUGCUUCGCAUCGUCGGGAGACGGGGCAGAGGAUCCAUUAAAGUGUCUGAGGACACCAAAGCUGCUGUAGUGAGUCUCAAAGAGGUCACGCCAAACGUCAUAAUUCAGCUUCUUGAGAUCGAGUUGAAUGGGUAUGUAAGCAUCUGAGCGAUUCCGUAUGGCUUAUCAUUCGCGGGAGCGGUUGCGGUUGCGGUGAUAGUCGCAGUGGCCAGCGGUCCCGACAUGAUGAAGAGAACAGGAAAAAAAUUGAAACUAGAAAAGAAGGAGAAGAAACGAAAAACACAAGAUGAAGACGGAUAAAAAAGAGGAUCAAAAGUUUAAAGAAAAAGCUCUGAUACCAUGUAAUCUGAAACUCCGUGAUCGGAGAGAUUGUAUUCAUAAGAUAUAUAUAGUGUAUGUUACAAGAUAAGGUCAAAUAUACACGGAACUAUAUGUGAUAUACUAGAAUCGUAGGAUAUCUACGCUAACAGAUGCAAUCAUCAUCUAUCUAAUCUAUAUAAGCAAUUACAAUGUCUUUAAGUCA